AGCGAACGCUGGCGGCAGGCCUAACACAUGCAAGUCGAACGGACCCUUCGGGGUUAGUGGCGGACGGGUGAGUAACACGUGGGAACGUGCCUUUUGGUUCGGAACAACUCAGGGAAACUUGAGCUAAUACCGAAUGUGCCCUUCGGGGGAAAGAUUUAUCGCCAUUAGAGCGGCCCGCGUCUGAUUAGCUUGUUGGUGAGGUAAUGGCUCACCAAGGCUACGAUCAGUAGCUGGUCUGAGAGGAUGAUCAGCCACAUUGGGACUGAGACACGGCCCAAACUCCUACGGGAGGCAGCAGUGGGGAAUCUUGCGCAAUGGGCGAAAGCCUGACGCAGCCAUGCCGCGUGAAUGAUGAAGGUCUUAGGAUUGUAAAAUUCUUUCACCGGGGACGAUAAUGACGGUACCCGGAGAAGAAGCCCCGGCUAACUUCGUGC
RNAcentral lists this ribosomal RNA (434 nucleotides) under uncultured bacterium. RNAcentral describes it as "bacterial SSU rRNA". It matches the Rfam family "Bacterial small subunit ribosomal RNA", at positions 29 to 508 of the family's 1533-position model. The record is from RNAcentral.